Molecule: ribosomal RNA, 434 nt
Filed under: uncultured Ruminococcus sp.
Lineage: Bacteria; Bacillati; Bacillota; Clostridia; Eubacteriales; Oscillospiraceae
Description: partial 16S ribosomal RNA
Rfam family: Bacterial small subunit ribosomal RNA
Source: RNAcentral
ACGGGAGGCAGCAGUGGGGGAUAUUGCACAAUGGGGGAAACCCUGAUGCAGCGACGCCGCGUGAGCGAAGAAGUAUUUCGGUACGUAAAGCUCUAUCAGCAGGGAAGAAAAUGACGGUACCUGACUAAGAAGCUCCGGCUAAAUACGUGCCAGCAGCCGCGGUAAUACGUAUGGAGCAAGCGUUAUCCGGAUUUACUGGGUGUAAAGGGAGCGUAGACGGCGUGGCAAGUCUGAUGUGAAAGCUAUGGGCUCAACCCAUAAACUGCAUUGGAAACUGUCAUGCUAGAGUGUCGGAGAGGUAAGCGGAAUUCCUAGUGUAGCGGUGAAAUGCGUAGAUAUUAGGAGGAACACCAGUGGCGAAGGCGGCUUACUGGACGAUAACUGACGUUGAGGCUCGAAAGCGUGGGGAGCAAACAGGAUUAGAUACCCUGGUA